Musa acuminata AAA Group (dessert banana) is the source of this 108-nucleotide small nuclear RNA. The record is from RefSeq and is a predicted model, not a curated record. NCBI's taxonomy places the organism in Eukaryota, Viridiplantae, Streptophyta, Magnoliopsida, Zingiberales, Musaceae.
GCCCUACUGAAGGUAUGGAGUGCAUUUCAUGCAAGAUGACACUGAGAAGAUUAGUAUGGCCCCUGCGCAAGGAUGACACGCACAAAUCGAGAAAUGGUCCAAAUUUUA